UCCAGGGCUACACACGUGCUACGAAUGGCCGGUACAAAGGGCUGCGAAUACCGCAAGGUGGAAGCGAACCCCAAAAAAGCCGGUCUCAGUUCGGAUUGGAGUCUGCAACUCGACUCCAUGAAGUUGGAAUCGCUAGUAAUCGCGGAUCAGCAUGCCGCGGUGAAUACGUUCCCGGGCCUU
Molecule: ribosomal RNA, 180 nt
Filed under: uncultured Pelobacter sp.
Lineage: Bacteria; Pseudomonadati; Thermodesulfobacteriota; Desulfuromonadia; Desulfuromonadales; Desulfuromonadaceae
Description: partial 16S ribosomal RNA
Rfam family: Bacterial small subunit ribosomal RNA
Source: RNAcentral